AUGCCCGAUGAUUAUAACAAGACGCGUUAUUACGAGGACCAAUGCUGGAACUCUUCUUGCCUUCUAUCAGAACUUUCUCUCAUAUCUUUUUUCCCUCCCCUUAUCUUCUUUCCCACCCCUUCCCUUUGCCUUCCUCCUUGGAGUUGCCAGUGUCCUGUGAGCAAGAUUAUGAGAUAUGAGGGCAG
Molecule: small nucleolar RNA, 185 nt
Organism: Hemicordylus capensis (graceful crag lizard)
Lineage: Eukaryota; Metazoa; Chordata; Lepidosauria; Squamata; Cordylidae
Product: small nucleolar RNA SNORD97
Exons: 1
Source: RefSeq, a predicted model, not a curated record